This 498-nucleotide ribosomal RNA is filed under the name uncultured bacterium. Its description in RNAcentral is "partial 16S ribosomal RNA". It matches the Rfam family "Bacterial small subunit ribosomal RNA", at positions 29 to 507 of the family's 1533-position model. The record is from RNAcentral.
AGCGAACGCUGGCGGCGUGCCUAACACAUGCAAGUCGAACGUGAAAAGGGAAACCUGAGUAAAGUGGCGUACGGGUGAGUAACGCGUAGGUAAUCUACCCCAGAAUCUGGAAUAACCUGCCGAAAGGCGGGCUAAUACUGGAUAGAGCGAGGGAACUCGUAAGAGAGUUUUUCGGGAAAGGGAGCCCGCAAGGGCCUUCGUUCUGGGAUGAGCCUGCGUCUCAUUAGCUAGUUGGUAAGGUAACGGCUUACCAAGGCGAUGAAGAGUAGCUGGUCUGAGAGGAUGAUCAGCCACACUGGAACUGAAACACGGUCCAGACUCCUACGGGAGGCAGCAGUGGGGAAUCUUGCGCAAUAGACGAAAGUCUGACGCAGCCACGCCGCGUGAGUGAAGAAGGCCUUCGGGUUGUAAAGCUCUGUCGGAUGGGACGAACAUCUUCAUAGUGAAUAGCUAUGAGGACUGACGGUACCAUCUAAGGAAGCACCGGCUAACUCCGUG